AACCCAUGGUGAGGGCAACUUCUCAUCAGAUCCUUGUAUCUCUCUCAUGCAUCGUAGAGUGUUUCUAAAUCUAUCUGUACAAAAGAGAAUAUAUCAUUAUGUAAUU
Non-coding RNA from Gossypium hirsutum (cotton), 106 nucleotides. The record is from Rfam. NCBI's taxonomy places the organism in Eukaryota, Viridiplantae, Streptophyta, Magnoliopsida, Malvales, Malvaceae.